This 315-nucleotide ribosomal RNA is filed under the name uncultured bacterium. Its description in RNAcentral is "bacterial SSU rRNA". It matches the Rfam family "Bacterial small subunit ribosomal RNA", at positions 28 to 334 of the family's 1533-position model. The record is from RNAcentral.
GAUAAACGCUGGCGGCGCACAUAAGACAUGCAAGUCGAACGAACUUAAUCGAAAGUUUACUUUUGAAGCGGUUAGUGGCGGACUGGUGAGUAACGCGUAAGUAAUCUGCCUAUCAGAGGGGAAUAACAGUGAGAAAUCAUUGCUAAUACCGCAUAUACUAAUUUUAUUGCAUGAUAGAAUUGGGAAAGGAGCAAUCCGCUGAUAGAUGGGCUUGCGUCUGAUUAGUUAGUUGGUAGGGUAAAGGCCUACCAAGACGAUGAUCAGUAGCCGGACUGAGAGGUUGAACGGCCACAUUGGGACUGAGAUACGGCCCAG